Gavia stellata (red-throated loon) is the source of this 905-nucleotide RNA transcript. It is a transcript of the gene named F-box only protein 15-like, with no coding region annotated. Lineage: Eukaryota; Metazoa; Chordata; Aves; Gaviiformes; Gaviidae. The record is from RefSeq and is a predicted model, not a curated record. The transcript has 6 exons.
AAAAAAUACUCGGGCAGACGAUGAUCCCCCAAGUGACAGGCUGAUAAUGAAGCUGGAGCUGAGUGCAAGUAUUGCAAGUAUGAUAGCUGUAUGUGAGACUAGGAGGUGGUGAAGAGGGCAACCGCCUUUCUGCUCAAGAUAGUGAUGCUUCUGGCCACAAUGAGUCAUCUGGGAAGUCCAGCUAGAAUGUCAAGAAGGGAUUUAAUCUUUUUUGUACUAUACAGUGAAGUAGUUACUCAGUAAUAUGGAAUCUGGCUGAAAAUCUAUUCCGGUUGUUUUCAGCCAAAAAGGACAAUUUGGAAAAUGAAGUCUGAGCCACCAGAAACUGUUUCCUUGGGCUGCGCUGCUCUACGUGAUAGAAAGCCUGGGUACUGGAAGAAAGAAUACCUCUUCAAACAAAUAGCUGCUGUCAAAAUGAGAGUAAGGCGACUUGUUAAACCUGUAGAUCCUUCUACAGGUCUUCCAUGUAAAAACAAAGAAGCUAUGAAAGCCUCUGGCUUGAGGUGGAGAAUUGUUCUAAAGGACAAAAAUGGAAAGGAACACGUAAUGGAGAAGGCAAACCUGUCGAUUAAGGACACAUCUGUUACUAUACUUUGGUAUAGUACAAAUUGGCCAUGCUUAGACAUCCUGUCAAGCCUGAAACUGUUUGGAGUUAUGCCAUUGCUUCCUGAGCAAAGCAGAGCUCCCAGCAAGAAUGGGUGUGUAUGUGAAUGGAGGGAACUUGGUGUUUGGCUGCGAGUACAAUAUAAGUAUAUGCAUAUAAAAACAAUAGCCCACAGCACAAUGUGGGAUAGCUGUUGUUUUGUAACUUAAGUGUGUACUAUAUUCUUCUGGCAUUAUAUUCUGAGCAAAGAUGUUUAAAUUAAAAGUGUGUAUUUGAGGUAUGUACGUAUUUGGUUGCUGUC